CACACACAUAUAUACAUAUAUACACACACACACACACAAACAAUGCCCGGCUCUUUUAUAUGUAUGUGUGUGUGUGUGUAUAUAUAUAUGUACAUAUAUAUACACACACACACAUAUAUAUAUAUACACACACACACAUAUAUAUACACACACACACAGGUGUCUACCUGGCCUGUGUCUCCAGGGUCUUGGGAGCAUCUCUGGGGCCUACUCCCCUCAGUGCAGGUUCAGCAUUCCCAGUCCUGACAGCUGCAGCCAGCAGUGCCCACCCCCACCCAGACAUUUAUAACCAGGACAAGCCCUCAGUUAAGCAGAUGGGGGGCUCACUCAAGGGGGAACCUGUCUAUGAAUGCAGGGUUCAACCCCAGCUGCAAACGAUAGCGGGGGUGGGGGGGUACAGUGUACCAGGCAGUGUAUCUGUCUAGGAACGCGGGGGCCACAGGGUAUCAGGCAGUGCAUCUAAGGCCUGCACUUUCCUGUCUGUGAAAUGGGGACGGUAACGACCUCACAGCUUCCUACAAGGUUUUCUGAAGCGACAUCCUGUGCCAAAUCAUCUGCGGCAAGUGUGCAACAGACGGUAGGUGCCACCUAAGAAAGUGACACAGCCUGUGCUGGCGAGGGCUUGGAGAGAAAGGCCCUCUUAGGCGAGUCUAUUUGUCCGACAUAUUUGCCAACAGCCCUUUAUGGGCUUGGCACAGGGAAGAGAGCGGGUGACAUACUGUUCUCAUGGAGGGCAGGGAGUGCUUCACGAUGACCCAGGAGAAAUUAAGUAGGAAGUACACACUAACUUAUGAGUGUUUUUUUUCUCACAAAGGUGACAAACUGAACACAAACUAACAGACCAGUUUGAAAAAUCAAGAAACAUCUAUAUAGUGAAAUUCUUUUUGUUGGGGGUGGGGGGUGGACAGAGUCUUGCUCUGUCACCCAGGCUGGAGAGCAGUAGCAGAACCACGGCUCACUACAGCCUGGAACUCCUGGCUUCAAGGGGUCCUCUGGCCUCUGGCCUCAGCCUCCCAAAGUGCUGGGACUACAGGAGCACAUCAGCAUGCUUGGCCUAAUUAUUAUUAUUUUUUUUUUGAGACAGAGUCUCACUGUCGCCCAGGCUGGAGUGCAGUGGUGCGGUCUCGGCUCACUGCAACCUCGACCUCCCAGGUUCAAGCGAUUCUCCCACCUCGGCCUCCCAAGUAGCUGGGAUUACAGGCACGUACCACCACACCCAGCUAAUUUUUGUAUUUUUAGUUAGAGAUGGGGUUUCACCAUAUUGGCCAGGCUGGUCUUGAACUCCUGACAAGUGAUCCACCCAUCUUGGCCUCCCAAAGUGCUGGGAUUCCAGGCACGACCCACCAUGCCCGGCCGGGAAUUCUUUAAGGGUGAUGAAUCAUCACAUGCACAGCCGUGAGAAAAACUCCCUGGCACCUGAGUGAGAGCCGCAGACAAGCCGGCCAGGGCAGUGGCCACAGCCUCCAACGCAUCCCGUUCACUAGUGCAAAACAGCUGUAACGUGGAGCUUUUCUGGACAGCACCCUUUCUAGUGUCUUUACUUUCUAUUUUUACAUAAUGUUUAAGUUUCCUGUAUGUGUAUUACUUUUGUAAUCAAACACAUUAAGGUAUCUUCAUUUUGGAAAAAAAGUUGAUUUACCUUAUUAUAAAGGUAUAUUAAGUACCACUUAAAUGUCUAUAUCAGCAUACGCAAAACAAAACCACGGCAUCAAAAUUUGAUACCCAAGGAGAGAAAUGCCUCCUUUACAACUUACACACGAUUACAACCGCCUAUUAAGUUUUAUGGACAUGGUUACAGAAUUCUUAUUAAAAUAUGUACAAUUACCUAUUCAACUUCAUAUAACAACUUAACCUCAAAAUUACUACUCAAAAAAUAAAAUGAGGCCUAGACAACACAGACUGUCUCACAGAUGACUGUGUACACGUACAUGAAAUGAGCAAACUGGACUUUGUUCUUUGACCUCCUCUUUCCCAAUUAGUACAUUUCCAUUAACUGUUAAUUAUAGAACUUUUGUAAUGCAAUUAACACACAUCAUUUGAUAGUAGUCAUAAAAAGGCUGAUCUUAGUAUCCACUGUAAGGGACCCCGUCAUUUAAAUAAGAAAUGUAAGUGAGAGACUCUGUUUAGAGAGAAUUUUCUAGUGGUCUUCUGAGCCUGCCAGAGAGAUGAGACCUCUCAGGCAAGGGCACAGUGCAGGGACCCACAGAUAGUAGGGAGUCACCUGUUAAACACUUUCAAUCUUAGCUCUUCAAGAGCCAAAUAAGCCACUUGGUAUUAUGGGACAGGCAUAUAAAAAGGAAAAACGUGUCUUGUUUACAGAGAUUCCAAACAAUGAAGACGUGGCACAGCUUAAAAAUAAACACUGAAGAGAAGCACCCUACUGGGCUCCACAGAACUGACCUUAAGGGAAUUAUGACCCUAAGGCUGUAGAAAAACUCACAGUAUCAACAGCAGAACCUGCCAACUUCACCGCGAACAAAACGGGAGCCAAUGCCCAUUCCAAUCAUUUCCUCCUUACAUGAAGAAACCCCAGCACCCUCCAAGGCCCAACCGAUGAUCCGCACGUCCUAGACAAGCCUUUGCGAGGCUCACAUAUGCACAUGCAACAUGGGCUGGGCUGUCUGGUAACCAUGGGUACGGCUGGGCAGUCAAUCACAAAUUAUCUUAUUUGUGCCCUGUCUUCUCACCACAGCACAAUGAGCUCUGCUUGACAUAGUCUGAAUUCAAUCAACUACUAAUAAGGGACAGCCUCUGGUGGAAAGCCUGAAAAAAUUCAAGAUACGCGCUUUUCCAAAACAAGAGGUAUCUUAUGAAACUUGCUGAAACAAGUCUACAAGAACAGACAUCUCCUCCCCAUGUACACAGCAAGUAGGAAAACAAGUGUGCAUUAAGCAGGGAGUUUCACAACAGGGCUGUGUCUGUCUUCCUGGGUGACACUUCUGAGAUGUCUAUGCCGUAUUUAAAAUAGUGAAAUAGUCACAGACACACAUACACUAACAGCAACCCAAAGGGCCACUAAAGAGCCCUAGGCUCCAGGUAAACGAGUUGGCAACACCUGAUUUAAAGGAAGGAGCUGGAAUAAUCUCUCAAGUUCCCCAGUGAACUUGUCUCCAGGACUGGGACAGGGGCCACCUUGGUCACUGCUGUAUCCCUCGUGCUAACAGUAAGCAAUGAAUGCUCAUUUAAAAAAAGACUGUAUUUACUCCUUAAAAGGCACUGCUAAGGACCUUUCUCAGAACUGUAUUUCAACCAAGUCAUAUGUGG
This 3264-nucleotide long non-coding RNA is filed under the name Homo sapiens (human). RNAcentral describes it as "HSALNT0270387". Lineage: Eukaryota; Metazoa; Chordata; Mammalia; Primates; Hominidae. The record is from RNAcentral.